GGAUGUGAGGGCGAUCUGGCUGCGACAUCUGUCACCCCAUUGAUCGCCAGGGCCGAUUCGGCUGAUCUGGCUGGCUGGGCCAGUGUCCCCUUCCUCCCUCACCGCUCCAUGUGCGUCCCUCCCAAAGCUGCGUGCUUGGUCAAAGAGGACGACCAUCCCCGAUAGAGGAGGACCGUUCUUCUCGGUCAAGGGUAUACGAGUAGCUGCGCUCUCCUGCUAGAACAAGCUCUCAGAGGCUUGUCCUGAGCAUUAAAUAAGCAACUAUUUUAUCAAACACUGAGAACGGUGCCUGGCACAUCGUGUUUU
Non-coding RNA from Camelus ferus (Wild Bactrian camel), 306 nucleotides. It matches the Rfam family "7SK RNA". Rfam says of the family: 7SK was discovered as an abundant small nuclear RNA in the mid-70s but a possible function has only recently been suggested. Two independent studies have found that 7SK RNA binds the CDK9/cyclin T complex (known as elongation factor P-TEFb). P-TEFb activates transcription by phosphorylating the C-terminal domain of RNA polymerase II. The record is from Rfam. NCBI's taxonomy places the organism in Eukaryota, Metazoa, Chordata, Mammalia, Artiodactyla, Camelidae.